UAUCAAUAAGCGGAGGAAAAGAAACUAACAAGGAUUCCCCUAGUAACGGCGAGUGAAGCGGGAAGAGCUCAAAUUUAAAAUCUGGCAAUCUUUGGUUGUCCGAAUUGUAAUCUAGAGAAGCGUUUUCCGCGCUGGACUGUGUACAAGUUUCCUGGAUACGGAACAUCAUAGAGGGUGAGAAUCCCGUCCUUGACACAGACUCCCAGUGCUAUGUGAUGCGCUCUCGACGAGUCGAGUUGUUUGGGAUUGCAGCUCAAAAUGGGAGGUAAAUUCCUUCUAAAGCUAAAUAUUGGCGAGAGACCGAUAGCGAACAAGUACCGUGAGGGAAAGAUGAAAAGCACUUUGGAAAGAGAGUUAAACAGUACGUGAAAUUGUUAAAAGGGAAACGCUUGAAGUCAGUCGCGUUUGCUUGGACUCAGCCUUGCCCCCUUUGGCUUGGUGCAUUUCCUUGUGGACGGGCCAGCGUUCAUGUUAUUUGCCGGAAAAGGGGCCGAAGGAAUGUGGCUCCUUCGGGAGUGUUAUAGCUUUCGCUCGUAUACGGGGAAUGAUAUGGAGUGGUACAGCACGUUUCUUAUGGUGCUUGUGCUGGCAUAAUGGCUUUAAACGACCCGUCUUGAAACACGGACCAAGGAGUCUAACAUGUCUGCAAGUGUUUGGGCGGAAAACCCGAGCGCGUAAUGAAAGUGAUAGGCUGGGAACCCCUUCUUGGGAGGCACCGGCGCCCCGAGCUGACCUUCUGUGACGCAUCGGAGGCAGAGCAUAUAUGUUGGGACCCGAAAGAUGGUGAACUAUGCCUGAAUAGGGCGAAGCCAGAGGAAACUCUGGUGGAGGCUCGUAGCGAUUCUGACGUGCAAAUCGAUCGUCAAAUUUGGGUAUAGGGGCGAAAGACUAAUCGAACCAUCUAGUA
RNAcentral lists this ribosomal RNA (907 nucleotides) under Clavulina sp. RNAcentral describes it as "partial large subunit ribosomal RNA". It matches the Rfam family "Eukaryotic large subunit ribosomal RNA", at positions 41 to 949 of the family's 3401-position model. Lineage: Eukaryota; Fungi; Basidiomycota; Agaricomycetes; Cantharellales; Hydnaceae. The record is from RNAcentral.